Molecule: long non-coding RNA, 2691 nt
Organism: Megalobrama amblycephala (Wuchang bream)
Lineage: Eukaryota; Metazoa; Chordata; Actinopteri; Cypriniformes; Xenocyprididae
Exons: 3
Source: RefSeq, a predicted model, not a curated record
UCGUGAUGGGGGAGAAGAGAAAGAAAGAAAGAGGGAGAUUUGAAGAAAGAAUGCUGAAAGAGAGAGGGCUGAGAGACAAAAGAAGGAAAUAUCACUGGAAAAAGAGCAAUGAAGGGAGGGCUGUGUGUGUUUGGGUUGUUUUUAAAUAUCCACAGUGUUUCUCAGAAAUCACUUACUGCACUUUUGAAUGCUGGACUUUUUAAUUUUGACUUUGUAUUUUGUAGCACCUUCCCCUCUCCAAAAAAUGGUCAGGUUGUUGAGAGGGUCUCCUCCUUCUGCUUCUUGGGCACUACCAUACACCAGUCCCUCUCAUGGGACCUGAACAUUAGUCUCAUUGUAGGCAAAGCUCAUCAGAGACUCUUUUUCCUCUGUCAGUUGAGAAAAUUUGGAGUUAGCCGGGAAGGCAUGACUCAUUUUUAUCGAGCCGUCAUAGAAAGCGUGCUGACCUUCUCUAUCCUGUCCUGGUACGGGAACGCGACCAGUCAGGAUAAGCACCAGCUAGAGAAAGUAGUGCGCAGAGCCUCUAAGAUCAUUGGCUGCAGUCUGCCUACCAUAGCCUCACAUUACGUCACCAGAAUUAUUAGGAAGGCGAGAAACAUCACCAACAACCCCUUCCACCCAGCACAUCACCUGUUUACUCUUUUGCCAUCAGGGAAGAGGUACAGAAGCAUCACCAGCAGAACAUCACGCUUCAGAGAUACCACUUACCUCCAAGCUAUACGAUAUUUAAAUAUGGCUUGAUGCUUGAAUGUUGAUUUAGGUUAUAAACUUGUGGACUGAUUUCUGGCUGUGUUGCUUGCACUAAGCACUUUAUGGUCUGGCCUAUAACCAGUUGACACACCUAAUGUGCAAUAUGUGUUGUUCAUGUCUGUGUAUAUGUAUGUGCUGUGUCAGUGCAUUGUUGUACCAUGGGAGCAUACCAAGAUAAAUUCCUAUCAACUGUAUUGUUGAAAUGGCUAAAUAAACUUGACUUGGACUUGUAGACUCAAAAGGCUCUGCAAAUGCAGCAAGACAACUUGGAGGCAGUGAAGAUGGAGAUUUCACUGCAUGAUGAUUGUGUUGAUCAGUGGGUUUCAGACGUACAGCAAUGGGCAGAAGGUAUUAUUUUGAUUUGCUUUGUUACUAUUCUUAUCAUUAGCAGGUAAUAUAUAAAGUUUCUUUUAUGCAUUUUCUUGUGUGGAAAGUGACCAACAUGGGAGUGGUGAUAUGAGAAGGUUACAAGAGGAAAUAGAAGGGCUAACAGUCAGCAUCAAAAUGCGAACACAGCGUCUGUACAGUCAAACAGCAACAAGCGGCGCCAUUCUUUGCGUCUCAGAAGGAGUGAAGAGAAGAAGAAGCUAGUUGUUGCAGUGGAAGAAUACAACGGCAUAGCAGAUCCAUCCCAGAAGCUUGGCUCAGUCGAAGACUUCUUCACAGCUGAAACUGUUGCUUGGCCUUGGCAAAUCCCUAGCAGUACUGAAUCGGCUCCAUUUCUCACCAAGAGGAAGGUGUUUGAUAAGGUGAUGGCAGUGAGACGCCUUCAGGAAGAGAAAGGUCAAAUUUGUAAGGGGAUGAAACAGCACUGGACGGUCCUGACACACAAGAUGUCCAAAUUCGAAGCACUGAUUAAUGAGAUCAGCUCAAAAUGUAAGAAAGUCUUAGAAAAUUUAUUAAAUGUAAGAAAAUUAAUUUUUCCUUUUGUUUUUCAGCUCUUUCUCCAACCCUGUCUGACAUUGCAUGCAAAGGUCUCCUCUGCAUUGUUCGAAAGAAACAUUAUGAACUUUAAACCUUUAACAGUUGGUAAAGGCAGGCUAUUUGAAAAUUUUCAGCCAACGAGAUUCGAUGUCUGAAGAAGAGAAGCUUGAACAGGAAGAUGACCUGCAAGACGAAGAGCCCUCAGAAAGCAACAACAGCUCAGAUGACGAACAUGAUUUUCCUUAAUAAGGGACAUUUAAGCCGGGUGCAAACUGUAUGAUUUUGGCCACAAGAUUCCUCUGAUCUUUGCCAAAAAUCUGUAGUCUUUGAUCGCUAGUUUGACAUGUUCACCAACAGCUGAUUAAUGACCGUUGCAAUCAAAAUUUACCUCAGACGAAAUUCUUGCGGUGUCAGAAAAUUUGACUUCCAGUCCUGCAGUGUGACUUCUCCUACGACGACCGGAUUGUCUUUAUUUUUCAAGACAUGCUGUGAUCAAAAUUGUUAGAAAUGUUAGAGAUUUCUUGAUUAGCCACCAUUUCAGUCAUGUCAUUGAUUGAUGAUGUUUUCUUGUGUGUGUGUUUGUUUUUAAUGCAUCUUACUGUUGUACAGUCUGACAUUAAUGACAACUGAGAUCCCACAGUGUGACAUGAGGAUCAUGUUCGUACAGUCUGACAAGCAACAGUUGUAAAUGACUCUUAUAAAUCAUACAGUGUGCACCCGGCUUUAGAAUAAAUUACACAAUUCUGUAAAUGAAAAACCCAAAAAACAAUAAUUUCACAUGAAUGGGAAUGUGAAUCAUACUUUGCCUUUAAAUGUCACAUAGAGCAAUUAGAUCAGAAGGCUUGUUUGUCUUUUUGAUGUUUAUUGUGUCAACUUUUCUGUAAAUGCCUGAUGCCAGUGUCUUUGAACAAUAACCUAUUACAUUCCAUGUGGCUAAUUACACAUCUAACAAAACUACUUUGUCUACACUUGAAAGAUCCAGUUAUGCAGUUUACAUUCAGUGUGUAUUUUUUACAC